This 28-nucleotide non-coding RNA is filed under the name Mus musculus (house mouse). Lineage: Eukaryota; Metazoa; Chordata; Mammalia; Rodentia; Muridae. The record is from RNAcentral.
UGAGAGCUGUUUAUGGGCCUUUGGCUCC